UGCGCGCUGCUGUGCAGGAUCAGGUUGUUGCUCUUCAGUAUGUGCCUUCCGAGUUACAGUUGGCGGAUUUCCUGACGAAGGCCCAGACUAGAGCACAACAUGGCCUUUAUCUCUCCAAACUCAGUGUUGUUCAUCCACCAUGAGUUUGAGGUGGGGUGUUAGAGUUAUAACUGCAAUGACACUUGACAAGUGUUAGAGUUAUAAUAUAAGUCAUGUACCCUUUUGUAUUUAUCCCAAUAUAUAAGGGUUCCCUGCAUAUAGUCCAUCACCUGUACAUGUAUAUAUACCGGCCUAUGGCCUCAUGGGAAUACAAGUUGCUUAUUCCUAACACAUUUAAUGCAACAAGAGGAUACAGAUCAGGAGGAUACUGCUGAGGAGAUCAUACAACAAGAACAAGAGGAAAUCAAUGAGGAGGAUGAACAGGUGAUGUUUGUUUCUGCUCAUGCUAUUGGGCAUCAGUAGUUGCCUACUACAACACCAACAGUCAUUGUGCACAUCAAUAGAAAAAGAGCAGUGGCUUUGCUGGAUUCUGGCAGUACCACUUCUUUCCUUAGCCAGGAUUUUGCUGUCAAAUGUAACUGUGACUUAAAUCCAGUUAAACCAAGAGCUAUUGCUGUUGCUGGAGGUGGCAAACUCAUGUCUACUACUGUAGCUCCAAAGUGUGCAUUUCAAUUAGCUAAGCUCAAGUUCUGCCAUGAUUUCAGGGUACUUCCACUACCUAGUCAUGAUAUGAUCUUAGGGUAUGAUUGGUUUGCCAUUGCGAGUCAUGUUGCUUUCAACAUACCAGAAAACACUUUCAGUUUCACUUUUCAAGGAAAACAAACUAUAUCCACUGCUAUAUAUAACAAUGCUGCGACAGUCAAGGAAGUGCCAGCAAAAACAACUAGUAAAAUCUUGGAAAAAGGAGCAGAAGGAUUUUGUUUCAAAUGCACAAUAUAGUUUUGGAAGCACCUAAGGGUUUCCAAACUCCUCCUCAGCAACAAAAAUUACUCAUGGAUUAUGCUGGUCUGUUUGAAGA
Molecule: long non-coding RNA, 1018 nt
Filed under: Hordeum vulgare
Lineage: Eukaryota; Viridiplantae; Streptophyta; Magnoliopsida; Poales; Poaceae
Description: long non-coding RNA (HVUL_LNC012723)
Source: RNAcentral